RNAcentral lists this ribosomal RNA (912 nucleotides) under uncultured bacterium. Its description in RNAcentral is "bacterial SSU rRNA". It matches the Rfam family "Bacterial small subunit ribosomal RNA", at positions 21 to 915 of the family's 1533-position model. The record is from RNAcentral.
GGCUCAGGACGAACGCUGGCGGCGUGCCUAAUACAUGCAAGUAGAACGCUGAAGAGAGGAGCUUGCUCUUCUUGGACGAGUUGCGAACGGGUGAGUAACGCGUAGGUAACCUGCCUUGUAGCGGGGGAUAACUAUUGGAAACGAUAGCUAAUACCGCAUAACAAUGGAUGACACAUGUCAUUUAUUUGAAAGGGGCAAUUGCUCCACUACAAGAUGGACCUGCGUUGUAUUAGCUAGUAGGUGAGGUAAUGGCUCACCUAGGCGACGAUACAUAGCCGACCUGAGAGGGUGAUCGGCCACACUGGGACUGAGACACGGCCCAGACUCCUACGGGAGGCAGCAGUAGGGAAUCUUCGGCAAUGGGGGCAACCCUGACCGAGCAACGCCGCGUGAGUGAAGAAGGUUUUCGGAUCGUAAAGCUCUGUUGUAAGUCAAGAACGGGUGUGAGAGUGGAAAGUUCACACUGUGACGGUAGCUUACCAGAAAGGGACGGCUAACUACGUGCCAGCAGCCGCGGUAAUACGUAGGUCCCGAGCGUUGUCCGGAUUUAUUGGGCGUAAAGCGAGCGCAGGCGGUUUGAUAAGUCUGAAGUUAAAGGCUGUGGCUCAACCAUAGUUCGCUUUGGAAACUGUCAAACUUGAGUGCAGAAGGGGAGAGUGGAAUUCCAUGUGUAGCGGUGAAAUGCGUAGAUAUAUGGAGGAACACCGGUGGCGAAAGCGGCUCUCUGGUCUGUAACUGACGCUGAGGCUCGAAAGCGUGGGGAGCGAACAGGAUUAGAUACCCUGGUAGUCCACGCCGUAAACGAUGAGUGCUAGGUGUUGGAUCCUUUCCGGGAUUCAGUGCCGCAGCUAACGCAUUAAGCACUCCGCCUGGGGAGUACGACCGCAAGGUUGAAACUCAAAGGAAUUGACG